CAUUUUCAUGAUUAAUUGGUCAAUGUUAAGUUUUGUGUUUUGGUAUGUUUUUCAAUUAUCAUAAGCAAAACAAGAUAAAACUACUUUAGUGUACUGAAGUGAACAAUUGUAAGGUGUACAGGUCUGUCUGACCUUGACCGCAAUGGCUCAUUGUCAUGGAUCUUUAAAAAAAUGUUUAGUUGAUGAGAUACAUGUGUAUUCUGAUCCUAUAGAGCAACCA
This 220-nucleotide long non-coding RNA is filed under the name Mytilus galloprovincialis (Mediterranean mussel). The record is from RNAcentral. Lineage: Eukaryota; Metazoa; Mollusca; Bivalvia; Mytilida; Mytilidae.